This 389-nucleotide ribosomal RNA is filed under the name Clostridiales bacterium. RNAcentral describes it as "partial 23S ribosomal RNA". It matches the Rfam family "Bacterial large subunit ribosomal RNA", at positions 2525 to 2925 of the family's 2925-position model. Lineage: Bacteria; Bacillati; Bacillota; Clostridia; Eubacteriales. The record is from RNAcentral.
CUCGAUGUCGGCUCGUCACAUCCUGGGGCUGUAGCAGGUCCCAAGGGUUCGGCUGUUCGCCGAUUAAAGUGGCACGCGAGCUGGGUUCAGAACGUCGUGAGACAGUUCGGUCCCUAUCCUUCGCGGGCGUAGGAUAUUUGAAAGGAUUUGCCCCUAGUACGAGAGGACCGGGGUGAACAUACCUAUGGUGCACCUGUUGUCGUACCAACGGCAUAGCAGGGUAGCUAUGUAUGGACGGGAUAAACGCUGAAGGCAUCUAAGCGUGAAACCCACCUUAAGAUAAGAUAUCCACAUUAGACUCCUUGUAGACCACAAGGUUGAUAGGUCAGAGGUGUAAGUGCAGCAAUGUAUUUAGCUGACUGAUACUAAUAAGUCGAAUGCUUGAUCAA